RNAcentral lists this ribosomal RNA (446 nucleotides) under uncultured bacterium. RNAcentral's name for it is "partial 16S ribosomal RNA". It matches the Rfam family "Bacterial small subunit ribosomal RNA", at positions 338 to 795 of the family's 1533-position model. The record is from RNAcentral.
CCUACGGGGGGCUGCAGUCGAGAAUCAUUCACAAUGGGGGAAACCCUGAUGGUGCGACGCCGCGUGGGGGAAUGAAGGUCUUCGGAUUGUAAACCCCUGUCGUGUGGGAGCAAAUUAAAAAGAUAGUACCACAAGAGGAAGAGACGGCUAACUCUGUGCCAGCAGCCGCGGUAAUACAGAGGUCUCAAGCGUUGUUCGGAAUCACUGGGCGUAAAGCGUGCGUAGGCUGUUUCGUAAGUCGUGUGUGAAAGGCGCGGGCUCAACCCGCGGACGGCACAUGAUACUGCGAGACUAGAGUAAGGGAGGGGGAACCGGAAUUCUCGGUGUAGCAGUGAAAUGCGUAGAUAUCGAGAGGAACACUCGUGGCGAAGGCGGGUUCCUGGACAUUAACUGACGCUGAGGCACGAAGGCCAGGGGAGCGAAAGGGAUUAGAUACCCUAGUAGUC